CGGGGGGGGGGGCAAGCGUUGUUCGGAAUUACUGGGCGUAAAGGGCGCGCAGGCGGCCCGGGCCAGUCUCUCGUGAAAUCCCACGGGCUCAACUGUGGAACUGCGGGAGAUACUGCCAGGCUUGAGUCCGGGAGAGGGUAGUGGAAUUCCCAGUGUAGCGGUGAAAUGCGUAGAUAUUGGGAGGAACACCGGUGGCGAAGGCGGCUACCUGGACCGGUACUGACGCUGAGGCGCGAAAGCUAGGGGAGCAAACGGGAUUAGAUACCCCGGUAGUCCUAGCUGUAAACGUUGAGCACUUGGUGUGGCGGGUAUCGACCCCUGCCGUGCCGAAGCUAACGCAUUAAGUGCUCCGCCUGGGGAGUACGGUCGCAAAGGCUGA
RNAcentral lists this ribosomal RNA (379 nucleotides) under uncultured organism. Its description in RNAcentral is "partial 16S ribosomal RNA". It matches the Rfam family "Bacterial small subunit ribosomal RNA", at positions 523 to 897 of the family's 1533-position model. The record is from RNAcentral.